GACGGCCUUCGGGUUGUAAACCUCUUUCAGUAGGGAAGAAGCGAAAGUGACGGUACCUGCAGAAGAAGCGCCGGCUAACUACGUGCCAGCAGCCGCGGUAAUACGUAGGGCGCAAGCGUUAUCCGGAAUUAUUGGGCGUAAAGAGCUCGUAGGCGGUUUGUCGCGUCUGCCGUGAAAGUCCGGGGCUCAACUCCGGAUCUGCGGUGGGUACGGGCAGACUAGAGUGAUGUAGGGGAGACUGGAAUUCCUGGUGUAGCGGUGAAAUGCGCAGAUAUCAGGAGGAACACCGAUGGCGAAGGCAGGUCUCUGGGCAUUAACUGACGCUGAGGAGCGAAAGCAUGGGGAGCGAACAGGAUUAGAUACCCUGGUAGUCCAUGCCGUAAACGUUGGGCACUAGGUGUGGGGGACAUUCCACGUUUUCCGCGCCGUAGCUAACGCAUUAAGUGCCCCGCCUGGGGAGUACGGCCGCAAGGCUAAAACUCAAAGGAAUUGACGGGGGCCCGCACAAGCGGCGGAGCAUGCGGAUUAAUUCGAUGCAACGCGAAGAACCUUACCAAGGCUUGACAUGGACCGGACCGCCGCAGAGAUGUGGUUUCCCCUUUGGGGCUGGUUCACAGGUGGUGCAUGGUUGUCGUCAGCUCGUGUCGUGAGAUGUUGGGUUAAGUCCCGCAACGAGCGCAACCCUCGUUCUAUGUUGCCAGCACG
This 705-nucleotide ribosomal RNA is filed under the name uncultured Arthrobacter sp. RNAcentral describes it as "bacterial SSU rRNA". It matches the Rfam family "Bacterial small subunit ribosomal RNA", at positions 410 to 1125 of the family's 1533-position model. The record is from RNAcentral. Lineage: Bacteria; Bacillati; Actinomycetota; Actinomycetes; Micrococcales; Micrococcaceae.